Molecule: long non-coding RNA, 2025 nt
Organism: Oncorhynchus nerka (sockeye salmon)
Lineage: Eukaryota; Metazoa; Chordata; Actinopteri; Salmoniformes; Salmonidae
Exons: 2
Source: RefSeq, a predicted model, not a curated record
UCAGCUGAACUAACUAGACAUGCCCUUUUCCUUCACAAUCCGUAAGGCGCAAAUAAAUUCGAGAGCAGCAGUGUGAUUCACAUCAUCAAUGCGCCAUGUAGCCUAGAUAUCAAUAAUACGUGAUAUCAGUGUAGCCUGUAGGCUACUCGCAACCCUGACAACAGGGCACUCCAGGAACUCAGGAUCAUGAUCCCCACCACAACAAACACCGUUGUCCUUCUACACACCGUUCUCCUAUAUACUCUGUUCAUCUACACACACUUGAAACACGGCAAAAUCCUUUAAAGUUCUUACACUGCAGUGGUUUGGGGACGAAAGCUCUUAUGGUGUAUCUUACAUAACCAAGCUUCACAUGCAUAGGGAUUUGCUGUUUAUCAAUAACAACAGUACCGAUAGACUUUUCUCUUUUUCUCCAUUCACCCAACGGGUCAGACGCCGGGUACCAACCACACCAGGAAUUGUGUUCAGGUAUUCAACCUGAACAUCCGUCAUCACCUCUGAGAUUUACAUUUUGUUCAAGUUUUUGUUCCAGUUUUCAAUACUUGUAUUUAUUUGUUUUAUGUAACCUUUAUUUUACUAGGCAAGUCAGUUAAGAACAAAUUCUUAUUUACAAUGACAGCCUACCACAAGGCAAAAUGCCUCCUGCAGGGAGGGGGGGCUGGGAUUAAAAAUUAAAAUAUAAAAUAUAGAUAUAGGACAAAACACACAUCACGACAAGAGAGUCAACACAACACUACAUAAAGAGAGACCUAAGACAAAAACAUAGCAAGGCAGCAACACAUGACAACACAGCAUGGUCGCAACACGACAUGACAACACAGCAUGGUCGCAACACAACAUGACAACACAGCAUAGUCGCAAGACAACAUGACAACACAGCAUGGUCGCAACACAACAUGACAACACAGCAUGGUCGCAACACAACAUGACAACACAGCAUGGUCGCAACACAACAUGACAACACAGCAUGGUCGCAACACAACAUGACAACAACAUGGUAGCAACACAACAUGACAACACAGCAUGGUCGCAACACAACAUGACAACACAGCAUGGUCGCAACACAACAUGACAACACAGCAUGGUCGCAACACAACAUGACAACAACAUGGUAGCAAUACAACAUGACAACACAGCAUGGUCGCAACACAACAUGACAACACAGCAUGGUCGCAACACAACAUGACAACACAGCAUGGUCGCAACACAACAUGACAACACAGCAUGGUCGCAACACAACAUGACAACAACAUGGUAGCAACACAACAUGACAACACAGCAUGGUCGCAACACAACAUGACAACAACAUGGUAGCAACACAACAUGGUAGCAGCACAAAACAGUACAAACAUUAUUGGGCACAGACAACAGCACAAAGGGCAAGAAGGUAGAGACAACAAUACAUCACGCAAAGCUGCCACAACUGUCAGUAAGAGUGUCCAUGAUUGAGUCUUUGAAUGAAGAGAUUGAGAUAAAACUGUCCAGUUUGAGUGUUUGUUGCAGCUCGUUCCAGUUGAUAGCUGCAGCGAACUGAAAAGACGAGCGACCCGGGGAUGUGUGUGCUUUCGGGACCUUAAACAUAAUGUGACUGGCAGAACGGGUGUUGUAUGUGGAGGAUGAGGGCUGCAGUAGAUAUCUCAGAUAGGGGGGAGUGAGACCUAAGAGGGUUUUAUAAAUAAGCAUCAACCACCUCUAGGUGUCGCACAUCUUCCUCAUUAUCCCCAGUGUAUUUAUACCUGUGUUCUCUGUUUGUCUGUUGCCAGUUCGUCUUGUCUUGUCAAGCUUACCAGUGUGUUUUUCCAUGCUCCUGCUCUACUAGUCUCUGUUUUUCUAGCCCUCCCGGUUCUGAUCAUUCUGCCUGCCCUGACAGUGAGCCCGCCUGCCUGUCCAUUCAGCCUGCCUUGACCUCAAGCCUAACUGACCCAACUGUACCUUUCGGACUCUGACCUGGUUAAUGAAUUUCUGCCUGUCCGAGACCUGCCCAUUGCCUGCCCCUUGUAUUUCAAUAAAUAUCAGAGACUCUAA